GAGUGUCCUUGAGUGGGACCCAGAAAACAUAAAAAGGUCCACUUAAUUAUUGUAUUUGAAAACUGUUUUCCUGGAAAUGAUGAAGAGAUAACAAAACGAAAACGAGUUCAUUUUCUAUGUUUUCUAAACAGUAAAAAGAGAAUGAGAGAGAACCAAACGCGCAAAAGACACGCCUCCCUUAGCUUACCUACAAGUUGACGAUACAUACCACCUCUCACAAGCCAAAGCCUUCCACUGAUAUAUCUCUUAUUCUUCCUCAAUGGAACAAAAGGAUAUUCUUAUCUUCUUAACAUCCUCCAUAAACCAAUAACUUCUACAUCAAAGUCAGAUUAUGUAAUUGAGCCUCCAUAAACAAUCUCUAUUCGAACACAGAGCUCAGAGCUUCUAUCAAUACCACAAAGGAGAUAUAUAUACAUAUAUAUUUAUGGGCAAGCAGCGUCCUUGCAAUGGAAGAAAGGGAAGCCAUGAUGAUCGAAGUCGGGCAUGUUAUUGCCGGCCUUAUUUUGUUGCAUCCUCAUUGUUUAGAGGGAUAGGAAGAUGUGUGUUUGCGGCUUGUUUCCCUGUAAUUCAGUGUUUUGGAUGCGAUGAAUGCAGGCACCGCCACCACCAAAAGCAUUUCUUUUGAGCUCUUUAUCCCUUUUUUCUCUUAUUCCAUUACUGUUGUCAUUUUUAUUGACUCUUAAGUUAUUGAAGCUCUGCUGUAUUUAUAAAGUUGAUUAUUUCUUUAUAAAGAGCAGGAAAGAGAAGCAGGCAGUUUGGCAUUGAUUACAA
This is a long non-coding RNA of Ziziphus jujuba (common jujube), 771 nucleotides long. RefSeq lists it as uncharacterized. The transcript has 2 exons. The record is from RefSeq and is a predicted model, not a curated record. Lineage: Eukaryota; Viridiplantae; Streptophyta; Magnoliopsida; Rosales; Rhamnaceae.